GCCAAGAUAGUUUAACAAAACACUAGGUUGUGACCCUAACAACAGAGCCCUAACUCUUCUUGGCC
Molecule: transfer RNA, 65 nt
Filed under: Acanthocercus adramitanus (Hadramaut agama)
Lineage: Eukaryota; Metazoa; Chordata; Lepidosauria; Squamata; Agamidae
Description: tRNA-His
Rfam family: tRNA
About the family: Transfer RNA (tRNA) molecules are approximately 80 nucleotides in length.
Source: RNAcentral